CAGUCGCCGCGGUAAUACGUAGGGUGCGAGCGUUAAUCGGAAUUGCUGGGCGUAAAGCGUGCGCAGGCGGUUCGUUAAGACAGAUGUGAAAUCCCCGGGCUUAACCUGGGAACUGCAUUUGUGACUGGCGAGCUAGAGUAUGGCAGAGGGGGGUAGAAUUCCACGUGUAGCAGUGAAAUGCGUAGAGAUGUGGAGGAAUACCGCUGGCGAAGGCAGCCCCCUGGGCCAAUACUGACGCUCAUGCACGAAAGCGUGGGGAGCAAACAGGAUUAGAUACCCCCGUAGUCCCUGUCUCUUAUAA
RNAcentral lists this ribosomal RNA (301 nucleotides) under uncultured bacterium. Its description in RNAcentral is "partial 16S ribosomal RNA". It matches the Rfam family "Bacterial small subunit ribosomal RNA", at positions 509 to 809 of the family's 1533-position model. The record is from RNAcentral.